Molecule: ribosomal RNA, 625 nt
Filed under: Bacillus sp. (in: firmicutes)
Lineage: Bacteria; Bacillati; Bacillota; Bacilli; Caryophanales; Bacillaceae
Description: bacterial SSU rRNA
Rfam family: Bacterial small subunit ribosomal RNA
Source: RNAcentral
GCCUUAUACAUGCAGUCGAGCGGACCUUUUAAAGCUUGCUUUUGAAAGGUCAGCGGCGGACGGGUGAGUAACACGUGGGCAACCUGCCUGUAAGACUGGGAUAACUUCGGGAAACCGGAGCUAAUACCGGAUAAUAUAAGGAACCUCCUGGUUCUUUAUUGAAAGAUGGUUUCGGCUAUCACUUACAGAUGGGCCCGCGGCGCAUUAGCUAGUUGGUGAGGUAAUGGCUCACCAAGGCGACGAUGCGUAGCCGACCUGAGAGGGUGAUCGGCCACACUGGGACUGAGACACGGCCCAGACUCCUACGGGAGGCAGCAGUAGGGAAUCUUCCACAAUGGACGAAAGUCUGAUGGAGCAACGCCGCGUGAGCGAUGAAGGCCUUCGGGUCGUAAAGCUCUGUUGUUAGGGAAGAACAAGUGCGAGAGUAACUGCUCGCACCUUGACGGUACCUAACCAGAAAGCCACGGCUAACUACGUGCCAGCAGCCGCGGUAAUACGUAGGUGGCAAGCGUUGUCCGGAUUAUUGGGCGUAAAGCGCGCGCAGGUGGUCCUUUAAGUCUGAUGUGAAACCCACGGCUCACCGUGGAGGGUCAUUGGAACUGGGGACUUGAGUGCAAAAGGAAGU